This 253-nucleotide ribosomal RNA is filed under the name uncultured bacterium. Its description in RNAcentral is "partial 16S ribosomal RNA". It matches the Rfam family "Bacterial small subunit ribosomal RNA", at positions 524 to 776 of the family's 1533-position model. The record is from RNAcentral.
UACAGAGGGUGCAAGCGUUGUUCGGAAUUAUUGGGCGUAAAGCGCGUGUAGGCGGCCUUGCAAGUCGGGUGUGAAAGCCCUCAGCUUAACUGAGGAAGUGCGCCCGAAACUGCUCGGCUUGAGUACCGGAGAGGAUGGCGGAAUUCCCCAAGUAGAGGUGAAAUUCGUAGAUAUGGGGAGGAACACCGGUGGCGAAGGCGGCCAUCUGGACGGAUACUGACGCUGAGACGCGAAAGCGUGGGUAGCAAACAGG